CCUACGGGUGGCAGCAGUAGGGAAUAUUGCUCAAUGGGGGAAACCCUGAAGCAGCAACGCCGCGUGGAGGAUGACGGUUUUCGGAUUGUAAACCCCUUUUGUUAGAGAAGCUACUGACGCUAUCUAACGCAUAAGUACCGGCUAAACCAGUGCCAGCAGCCGCGGGCAUCCGGCGGGUGGAAGCGGUACUAGGAAUCACUCGGCGGAAAGAGCGCGUAGGCGGGAUAGCAAGUCAGAUGGGAAAUCCUCUGGCUUAACCAUAGAACUGCAUUUGAAACCGUAAUUCUAGAGUAUGGGAGAGGUAGGUGGAAUGCUUGGUGUAGGGGUAAAAUGCGUAGAGAUCAAGAGGAAGACUCAUUGCGAAGGCGACAUGCUAGAACAUAACUGACGCUGAAGCGCGAAAGCGUGGGGAGCAAACAGGAUUAGAUACCCGAGUAGUC
RNAcentral lists this ribosomal RNA (440 nucleotides) under uncultured bacterium. Its description in RNAcentral is "partial 16S ribosomal RNA". It matches the Rfam family "Bacterial small subunit ribosomal RNA", at positions 338 to 795 of the family's 1533-position model. The record is from RNAcentral.